AACUUUCCAAGGUUGACCUCAGAUCAGGUAGGAAUACCCGCUGAACUUAAGCAUU
This 55-nucleotide ribosomal RNA is filed under the name Clonostachys rosea. RNAcentral's name for it is "partial 28S ribosomal RNA". The record is from RNAcentral. Lineage: Eukaryota; Fungi; Ascomycota; Sordariomycetes; Hypocreales; Bionectriaceae.